UGGAGCCGGUUUUUUUAAAUUUUUUAACCAGCUCAGGACGAACGCUGGCGGCGUGCCUAAUACAUGCAAGUCGAGCGAACAGAGAAGGAGCUUGCUCCUUCGACGUUAGCGGCGGACGGGUGAGUAACACGUGGGCAACCUACCUUAUAGUUUGGGAUAACUCCGGGAAACCGGGGCUAAUACCGAAUAAUCUGUUUCACCUCAUGGUGAAACACUGAAAGACGGUUUCGGCUGUCGCUAUAGGAUGGGCCCGCGGCGCAUUAGCUAGUUGGUGAGGUAACGGCUCACCAAGGCGACGAUGCGUAGCCGACCUGAGAGGGUGAUCGGCCACACUGGGACUGAGACACGGCCCAGACUCCUACGGGAGGCAGCAGUAGGGAAUCUUCCACAAUGGGCGAAAGCCUGAUGGAGCAACGCCGCGUGAGUGAAGAAGGAUUUCGGUUCGUAAAACUCUGUUGUAAGGGAAGAACAAGUACAGUAGUAACUGGCUGUACCUUGACGGUACCUUAUUAGAAAGCCACGGCUAACUACGUGCCAGCAGCCGCGGUAAUACGUAGGUGGCAAGCGUUGUCCGGAAUUAUUGGGCGUAAAGCGCGCGCAGGUGGUUUCUUAAGUCUGAUGUGAAAGCCCACGGCUCAACCGUGGAGGGUCAUUGGAAACUGGGAGACUUGAGUGCAGAAGAGGAUAGUGGAAUUCCAAGUGUAGCGGUGAAAUGCGUAGAGAUUUGGAGGAACACCAGUGGCGAAGGCGACUAUCUGGUCUGUAACUGACACUGAGGCGCGAAAGGACGGCC
RNAcentral lists this ribosomal RNA (793 nucleotides) under Lysinibacillus fusiformis. RNAcentral describes it as "bacterial SSU rRNA". It matches the Rfam family "Bacterial small subunit ribosomal RNA", at positions 1 to 766 of the family's 1533-position model. The record is from RNAcentral. Lineage: Bacteria; Bacillati; Bacillota; Bacilli; Caryophanales; Bacillaceae.